CUUGUAAGGAUCAGCGAGUGUAGCCUCCUCGGACUCAGUCAAAACUAUUGCCGGCUCACCCAUAUGUAUAAAGGGUUCUUUAGCAGCAAACCCAGCAGUGGAAGAGUCAUCUAUACCCCGUAUAACCGAUGCAAACGACUUUCGUGAACUCCGUUCAGCUUGAGAUAGGCCCGGACGGCCAGAAACUGCAGUAGCAUAGGUCUUUCGGCCCUGAUUGAGCACUGUCUGGGCCUCAUGUGGAAAAACCGAUGAUGAAAAUGGAUUCAAAUUAACUGGAAGAACAUUCUGAUCAAAAGUUGUCGGAGGGCCGCCGGGACGCCGCCGGCCGGCCGCUAGCGGCUCCGUUUUCCGGCCAAAAUCAACCGGAGGCAGAAAUUUAUGAUUUUCAACAAUCUUGUGCGGAAUUUCAUGCUGAAUAACGCGGUCAGGCGCGUUUCCCGAGGUGAGAACCGUAGAGGCCGGAAAUCGCAAUUUUUCGACAAACUGCCCGUUUACGUUUGGUGCCGUAACAGGAGCGUCCGACCUCCGAUUGCCGUGAUUUUU
RNAcentral lists this long non-coding RNA (543 nucleotides) under Olea europaea subsp. europaea. Lineage: Eukaryota; Viridiplantae; Streptophyta; Magnoliopsida; Lamiales; Oleaceae. The record is from RNAcentral.